Molecule: ribosomal RNA, 1435 nt
Filed under: uncultured organism
Description: 16S ribosomal RNA
Rfam family: Bacterial small subunit ribosomal RNA
Source: RNAcentral
GGCGUGCUUAACACAUGCAAGUCGAACGGAAAGGCCCUGCUUUUGUGGGGUGCUCGAGUGGCGAACGGGUGAGUAACACGUGAGUAACCUGCCCUUGACUUUGGGAUAACUUCAGGAAACUGGGGCUAAUACCGGAUAGGAGCUCCUGCUGCAUGGUGGGGGUUGGAAAGUUUCGGCGGUUGGGGAUGGACUCGCGGCUUAUCAGCUUGUUGGUGGGGUAGUGGCUUACCAAGGCUUUGACGGGUAGCCGGCCUGAGAGGGUGACCGGCCACAUUGGGACUGAGAUACGGCCCAGACUCCUACGGGAGGCAGCAGUGGGGAAUAUUGCACAAUGGGCGGAAGCCUGAUGCAGCAACGCCGCGUGCGGGAUGACGGCCUUCGGGUUGUAAACCGCUUUCGCCUGUGACGAAGCGUGAGUGACGGUAAUGGGUAAAGAAGCACCGGCUAACUACGUGCCAGCAGCCGCGGUGAUACGUAGGGUGCGAGCGUUGUCCGGAUUUAUUGGGCGUAAAGGGCUCGUAGGUGGUUGAUCGCGUCGGAAGUGUAAUCUUGGGGCUUAACCCUGAGCGUGCUUUCGAUACGGGUUGACUUGAGGAAGGUAGGGGAGAAUGGAAUUCCUGGUGGAGCGGUGGAAUGCGCAGAUAUCAGGAGGAACACCAGUGGCGAAGGCGGUUCUCUGGGCCUUUCCUGACGCUGAGGAGCGAAAGCGUGGGGAGCGAACAGGCUUAGAUACCCUGGUAGUCCACGCUGUAAACGGUGGGUACUAGGUGUGGGGUCCAUUCCACGGGUUCCGUGCCGUAGCUAACGCUUUAAGUACCCCGCCUGGGGAGUACGGCCGCAAGGCUAAAACUCAAAGGAAUUGACGGGGCCCCGCACAAGCGGCGGAGCAUGCGGAUUAAUUCGAUGCAACGCGUAGAACCUUACCUGGGUUUGACAUGGAUCGGGAGUGCUCAGAGAUGGGUGUGCCUCUUUUGGGGUCGGUUCACAGGUGGUGCAUGGCUGUCGUCAGCUCGUGUCGUGAGAUGUUGGGUUAAGUCCCGCAACGAGCGCAACCCUUGUUCACUGUUGCCAGCACGUUAUGGUGGGGACUCAGUGGAGACCGCCGGGGUCAACUCGGAGGAAGGUGGGGAUGACGUCAAGUCAUCAUGCCCCUUAUGUCCAGGGCUUCACGCAUGCUACAAUGGCUGGUACAGAGAGUGGCGAGCCUGUGAGGGUGAGCGAAUCUCGGAAAGCCGGUCUCAGUUCGGAUUGGGGUCUGCAACUCGACCUCAUGAAGUCGGAGUCGCUAGUAAUCGCAGAUCAGCAACGCUGCGGUGAAUACGUUCCCGGGGCUUGUACACACCGCCCGUCAAGUCAUGAAAGUUGGUAACACCCGAAGCCGGUGGCCUAACCGUUGUGGGGGAGCCGUCGAAGGUGGGACUGGUGAUUAGGACUA